Mus pahari (shrew mouse) is the source of this 615-nucleotide long non-coding RNA. RefSeq lists it as uncharacterized. The transcript has 3 exons. The record is from RefSeq and is a predicted model, not a curated record. NCBI's taxonomy places the organism in Eukaryota, Metazoa, Chordata, Mammalia, Rodentia, Muridae.
AGAGGCAUCACCAGCUCCUGAUGUCACCUCUCAGGCCAGGCCCUGAAGUAGACUUUUAAUUCUUUCGGGGGGGGGGGGUGCGAGACUAGGCAAGAAGCAGUACAUCUCUUGCCACCACAGAUCUAGAAGAAGCCUGUUCUUGGACAGCCGGAGGAAGCUAGAAAAGCUCGGGAGUGGAUCCCAAUCUAACUGGGCUCCUCCGUCAAUGAGUCCAUCUGGUUUGGAAUAAACCCAGAGGCAGAGUUUAAACUGCAGGGCUUCCCGGUGGGCUGCAGUAAAGGCUAGACUGCACUUGAAACCCGCCUCACUCUUCUCCACACCCUGGACCCGCCCCUGGAGUUGCCCUUUGGAAGUAGUGCCUCGAUAUGGUAUACUUGGCUCCUCAAGACCGUUCCCUGGAGAGCCAGCAUCAAACAGGGGAACCUGAGUUCUAAGUGGAUGAACAGUUUUCCCUGAAUUGGAUCCUCAAGACCAGCCACAUGGAAUGAUCGCUGGAGGAUCCAGAGUGAAGGUUGCCUUCUAGAACUCUGUUACCUUGUCUUGUCUCUGUCGAAAUAGCAAUGUCAUUUGAACCCUUGGCUCUCUUCCUGACUAAAUAAUGAUUGCCUUUCCAUC